This 116-nucleotide ribosomal RNA is filed under the name Jaculus jaculus (lesser Egyptian jerboa). Lineage: Eukaryota; Metazoa; Chordata; Mammalia; Rodentia; Dipodidae. The record is from RNAcentral.
CCAGCCAUACCACCCUGAACGCUCCUGAUCUUGUCUGAUCUCUGAAGCUAAGCAGGGUUGGGCCUGGUUGGUACUCGGAUGGGGGGUACUAAGGCUACAGCACCUGGCUGUCUGGC